GGCGAGUGAAGCGGGAAGAGCUCAAAUUUGAAAUCUUCAAGGUUCUACCUUGACGAAUUGUAGUUUAAAGAAGUGUUUUCUGCUAGUGGAGUGGCAAAAGUUCUUUGGAAUAGGACAUCAUAGAGGGUGAGAAUCCCGUAUUUGGUCAUUCUUUCUAGCUUUGUGAUACACUUUCAAAGAGUCGGAUUGUUUGGGAAUGCAGUCCAAAAUGGGUGGUAAAUUUCAUCUAAAGCUAAAUAUUGGCGAGAGACCGAUAGCGAACAAGUACCGUGAGGGAAAGAUGAAAAGAACUUUGAAAAGAGAGUUAAACAGUACGUGAAAUUGUCAAAAGGGAAGCGUUUGACACCAGUGUUGUUUUUCCGAAAAUCAAUUAUGAAUGUUUUGUUUUUGAGGAGUUAUGACUUCAUCGGCUUGCUCCUUUCUUUACGGAACUUUCGUAAUGCACUUUUCGGUUAACAAGUCAACAUCAAUUUCUUUUGUUGUAAAAGGGUACGAGGAAGGUGGCUUUCUUUUCCGAGAAAGUGUUUAUAGCCUUGUGCCUCUGCAAUCGGAGAGAUUGAGGUCUGCAGCGUAGAUCCUUCGGGGCUAGAUACACUUGUGCUAAGUUAUAGCUUUUCAUAAACAACUUGUUGACUAUGUUUAGUCUUGUAGCUUACCCGCUUGUGCUAUUUUACCUACGCUUAGGAUGUUGACAAAAUGGUUUUAAACGACCCGUC
Molecule: ribosomal RNA, 716 nt
Filed under: Neocallimastigaceae sp.
Lineage: Eukaryota; Fungi; Neocallimastigomycota; Neocallimastigomycetes; Neocallimastigales; Neocallimastigaceae
Description: partial large subunit ribosomal RNA
Rfam family: Eukaryotic large subunit ribosomal RNA
Source: RNAcentral